AAAGGAAGCCCAGAAAGGUGUGGUUUCCUCUGUCUUCUGCUUGCAUAUACCACUGAUUUGUCAUUUCUCUUGUAUGCUCUGGUCUCAUCUAGUCCGGAGGCUGGGGGCUGAGGGGGGUGCAGGGGCUGGACGGCUUGGCGAUCCCUGCUGCAGGGGGAAAGUGAGCAACCGUCCCCACAGAGACUCUGGGUCCCGCAGCAGGGGCAGCGGGAUUACUGCCUUUGGCCCGGUCGGAGUUGGAGCCCCGCAGAGCCCGUUCCUCCCGAGACAUGGGGCUCUGGACAGCCGGCACAGGGACGAUGUCUGGCAGAGAGCACUAACCAAAACCUCCAGAGAGCAGCCACAGUUACCUCUUCCUUAGCCCGGGAUGGGCCCAAGGGGCUGGACUUCCGGUGGAUUCAGAUGCUGGGAAACUCAGCCAUCAGGCAGACUGGAUGCCACAGAUUGGUGGAAGACAAUCUUUCCACCUAUAUCCAGCUCCGGAAGAGGCCUCCGACACCCACGUCCCCUCGGCUUCUCUCCCCGAGUAGCUCGCCCACCCCCACGUGGAACUCUUUGUAGAGCCAAGCGGGAUGAGGUCUUUACUCUGUUAAUAGUAAGAAAUUCAUAAUUACCCCUGAAAGUUACCCAGAGGCCACUGCCCACCAGGUCCUUUGUGGGCCCCACGCCUCACGGCCUCCACUGCCCAUUUGUUUAGUGUCUCUCCAGAUGAUUAGAGCAACCCUUGAGUAAAUACUCAGAAAACUGAAAUACUCAGGCCAAAAAUCUAGCUAACAGCACACAAACACACACACAAACACACAUACCAGCAGACAUACUCACUCAUACACCCCCCCCAAACACGGUGAAAAUGUGCUUAUGCAAACAUACACCAACUAGCGUGACAAAAAUUGACAAAAGCAUGGAUGCAUGCACACAUGCUAACACACACACACCACACACCCCACCUCUAGGAAAAGCGGUCUAAAACUGAAGGCAAAUAGAAGGGGGACAAGUUAGGAAUAUGGAAAUCAAUGUGCGGGAAGUAUGAGCCAGCUCCAAUUUCCCCUUAGUGUCCCACCCUCACAAUUGGAUUGGGACCCUAUACCCUUUUGGAACCUGAAUUAGGAGGUGGCCA
This 1117-nucleotide long non-coding RNA is filed under the name Ornithorhynchus anatinus (platypus). RNAcentral's name for it is "lncRNA (ENSOANG00000043235.1)". The record is from RNAcentral. Lineage: Eukaryota; Metazoa; Chordata; Mammalia; Monotremata; Ornithorhynchidae.